UGGCGGCGGGUGAGUAAUGUCUGGGAAACUGCCUGAUGGAGGGGGAUAACUACUGGAAACGGUAGCUAAUACCGCAUAACGUCGCAAGACCAAAGAGGGGGACCUUCGGGCCUCUUGCCAUCGGAUGUGCCCAGAUGGGAUUAGCUAGUAGGUGGGGUAACGGCUCACCUAGGCGACGAUCCCCAGCUGGUCUGAGAGGAUGACCAGCCACACUGGAACUGAGACACGGUCCAG
RNAcentral lists this ribosomal RNA (234 nucleotides) under uncultured bacterium. RNAcentral describes it as "partial 16S ribosomal RNA". It matches the Rfam family "Bacterial small subunit ribosomal RNA", at positions 103 to 334 of the family's 1533-position model. The record is from RNAcentral.